AGAGUGAACGCUGGCGGCAGGCCUAACACAUGCAAGUCGAGCGGCAGCGCAGCGGUAGCAAUACUGUGGGCGGCGAGCGGCGGACGGGUGAGGAACACAUCGGAAUCUACCCUGUCGUGGGGGACAACGUAGGGAAACUUACGCUAAUACCGCAUACGACCUUUGGGUGAAAGCGGGGGACUCGCAAGAGCCUCGCGCGAUUGGAUGAGCCGAUGUCCGAUUAGCUAGUUGGCGGGGUAAUGGCCCACCAAGACGAUGAUCGGUA
RNAcentral lists this ribosomal RNA (265 nucleotides) under uncultured bacterium. Its description in RNAcentral is "partial small subunit ribosomal RNA". It matches the Rfam family "Bacterial small subunit ribosomal RNA", at positions 26 to 285 of the family's 1533-position model. The record is from RNAcentral.